AGGAAGGAUCCGAGCGUUAUCCGGAUUUAUUGUGUUUAAGGGAGCGUAGGUGGACUGGUAAGUCAGUUGUGAAAGUUUGCGGCUCAACCGUAAAAUUGCAGUUGAUACUGUCAGUCUUGAGUACAGUAGAGGUGGGCGGAAUUCGUGGUGUAGCGGUGAAAUGCUUAGAUAUCACGAAGAACUCCGAUUGCGAAGGCAGCUCACUGGACUGCAACUGACACUGAUGCUCGAAAGUGUGGGUAUCAAACAGGAUUAGAUACCCUGGUAGUCCACACAGUAAACGAUGAAUACUCGCUGUUUGCGAUAUACAGUAAGCGGCCAAGCGAAAGCAUUAAGUAUUCCACCUGGGGAGUACGCCGGCAACGGUGAAACUCAAAGGAAUUGACGGGGGCCCGCACAAGCGGAGGAACAUGUGGUUUAAUUCGAUGAUACGCGAGGAACCUUACCCGGGCUUAAAUUGCAGAUGAAUUACGGUGAAAGCCGUAAGCCGCAAGGCAUCUGUGAAGGUGCUGCAUGGUUGUCGUCAGCUCGUGCCGUGAGGUGUCGGCUUAAGUGCCAUAACGAGCGCAACCCUUGUUGUCAGUUACUAACAGGUUCUGCUGAGGACUCUGACAAGACUGCCAUCGUAAGAUGUGAGGAAGGUGGGGAUGACGUCAAAUCAGCACGGCCCUUACGUCCGGGGCUACACACGUGUUACAAUGGGGGGUACAGAGGACCGCUACCACGCGAGUGGAUGCCAAUCCCCAAAACCUCUCUCAGUUCGGACUGGAGUCUGCAACCCGACUCCACGAAGCUGGAUUCGCUAGUAAUCGCGCAUCAGCCACGGCGCGGUGAAUACGUUCCCGGGCCUUGCACACACCGCCCGU
RNAcentral lists this ribosomal RNA (866 nucleotides) under uncultured bacterium. RNAcentral's name for it is "bacterial SSU rRNA". It matches the Rfam family "Bacterial small subunit ribosomal RNA", at positions 525 to 1397 of the family's 1533-position model. The record is from RNAcentral.